This 16-nucleotide microRNA is filed under the name Homo sapiens (human). RNAcentral's name for it is "hsa-miR-4297". Lineage: Eukaryota; Metazoa; Chordata; Mammalia; Primates; Hominidae. The record is from miRBase by way of RNAcentral.
UGCCUUCCUGUCUGUG